This 63-nucleotide transfer RNA is filed under the name Isotomurus maculatus. RNAcentral describes it as "tRNA-Gly". The record is from RNAcentral. Lineage: Eukaryota; Metazoa; Arthropoda; Collembola; Entomobryomorpha; Isotomidae.
AUACAUCUAAUAUAUAAGUAUAUUUGACUUCCAAUCAAACAGACCAGACACCUGGGAUGUAUA